RNAcentral lists this ribosomal RNA (484 nucleotides) under uncultured bacterium. Its description in RNAcentral is "partial 16S ribosomal RNA". It matches the Rfam family "Bacterial small subunit ribosomal RNA", at positions 30 to 507 of the family's 1533-position model. The record is from RNAcentral.
AUUGAACGCUGGCGGCAGGCCUAACACAUGCAAGUCGAGCGGAUGAAGGGAGCUUGCUCCUGGAUUCAGCGGCGGACGGGUGAGUAAUGCCUAGGAAUCUGCCUGGUAGUGGGGGAUAACGUCCGGAAGCGGGCGCUAAUACCGCAUACGUCCUGAGGGAGAAAGUGGGGGAUCUUCGGACCUCACGCUAUCAGAUGAGCCUAGGUCGGAUUAGCUAGUUGGUGGGGUAAAGGCCUACCAAGGCGACGAUCCGUAACUGGUCUGAGAGGAUGAUCAGUCACACUGGAACUGAGACACGGUCCAGACUCCUACGGGAGGCAGCAGUGGGGAAUAUUGGACAAUGGGCGAAAGCCUGAUCCAGCCAUGCCGCGUGUGUGAAGAAGGUCUUCGGAUUGUAAAGCACUUUAAGUUGGGAGGAAGGACAGUAAGUUAAUACCUUGCUGUUUUGACGUUACCAACAGAAUAAGCACCGGCUAACUUCGUG